RNAcentral lists this ribosomal RNA (1028 nucleotides) under Bacteroidetes bacterium RP28. Its description in RNAcentral is "bacterial SSU rRNA". It matches the Rfam family "Bacterial small subunit ribosomal RNA", at positions 99 to 1125 of the family's 1533-position model. Lineage: Bacteria; Pseudomonadati; Bacteroidota. The record is from RNAcentral.
GCAACGGGUGCGCAACGCGUAUACAAACCUGCCCCCCGCUGGGGGAAUAGCCCAGAGAAAUUUGGAUUAACGCCCCAUGGCAACUCCGCACGGCAUCGUGCGGGGUUCAAAGGACACGGCGGGGGAUGGGUAUGCGUCCCAUUAGCUAGUUGGUGCGGUAACGGCGCACCAAGGCGACGAUGGGUAGGGGUCCUGAGAGGGAGAUCCCCCACACUGGUACUGAGACACGGACCAGACUCCUACGGGAGGCAGCAGUGAGGAAUAUUGGACAAUGGGCGGAAGCCUGAUCCAGCCAUGCCGCGUGCAGGAAGACGGCCCUAUGGGUUGUAAACUGCUUUUGUACGGGAAGAACAAGGGCCACGCGUGGCCCUCUGACGGUACCGUAAGAAUAAGGAUCGGCUAACUCCGUGCCAGCAGCCGCGGUAAUACGGAGGAUCCGAGCGUUAUCCGGAAUCAUUGGGUUUAAAGGGUCCGUAGGCGGGCCGUUAAGUCAGGGGUGAAAGUCUGCAGCUCAACUGUAGAACUGCCCUUGAUACUGACGGCCUUGAGUUGCGGUGAAGUGGCCGGAAUAUGUAGUGUAGCGGUGAAAUGCAUAGAUAUUACAUAGAACACCGAUUGCGAAGGCAGGCCACUAACCGCACACUGACGCUGAUGGACGAAAGCGUGGGGAGCGAACAGGAUUAGAUACCCUGGUAGUCCACGCCGUAAACGAUGGAUACUAGCUGUCCGUCCGCUUCAGGCGGAUGGGCGGCCAAGCGAAAGUGAUAAGUAUCCCACCUGGGGAGUACGUCCGCAAGGAUGAAACUCAAAGGAAUUGACGGGGGCCCGCACAAGCGGUGGAGCAUGUGGUUUAAUUCGAUGAUACGCGAGGAACCUUACCAGGGCUUAAAUGGGGGGCGACAGGCGCAGAGAUGCGCCCUUCUUCGGACGCCCUUCAAGGUGCUGCAUGGUUGUCGUCAGCUCGUGCCGUGAGGUGUCAGGUUAAGUCCUAUAACGAGCGCAACCCCCUGUGGUCAGUUGCCAGCGGG